Molecule: ribosomal RNA, 445 nt
Filed under: uncultured bacterium
Lineage: Bacteria
Description: bacterial SSU rRNA
Rfam family: Bacterial small subunit ribosomal RNA
Source: RNAcentral
GUAAGGAAUAUUGGUCAAUGGACGCAAGUCUGAACCAGCCAUGCCGCGUGGAGGAUGAAGGUCCUCUGGAUUGUAAACUUCUUUUAUCUGGGACGAAAAAGGGCCUUUCUAGGUCAACUGACGGUACCAGAUGAAUAAGCACCGGCUAACUCCGUGCCAGCAGCCGCGGUAAUACGGAGGGUGCAAGCGUUAUCCGGAUUCACUGGGUUUAAAGGGUGCGUAGGCGGGCAUGUAAGUCCGUGGUGAAAUCUCCGAGCUUAACUCGGAAACUGCCAUGGAUACUAUGUGUCUUGAAUGUUGUGGAGGUGAGCGGAAUAUGUCAUGUAGCGGUGAAAUGCUUAGAUAUGACAUAGAACACCAAUUGCGAAGGCAGCUCACUACACAAAUAUUGACGCUGAGGCACGAAAGCGUGGGGAUCAAACAGGAUUAGAUACCCUAGUAGUCC